This 445-nucleotide ribosomal RNA is filed under the name uncultured bacterium. RNAcentral's name for it is "partial 16S ribosomal RNA". It matches the Rfam family "Bacterial small subunit ribosomal RNA", at positions 331 to 792 of the family's 1533-position model. The record is from RNAcentral.
CCAGACUCCUACGGGAGGCAGCAGUGGGGGAUAUUGCACAAUGGGGGGAACCCUGAUGCAGCGACGCCGCGUGGGUGAAGGAGUAUUUCGGUAUGUAAAGCCCUAUCGGCAGGGGAGAAGAAAGACGGUACCUGACUAAGAAGCCCCGGCUAACUACGUGCCAGCAGCCGCGGUAAUACGUAGGGGGCGAGCGUUAUCCGGAUUUACUGGGUGUAAAGGGAGCGUAGACGGCCAAGCAAGCCAGGGGUGAAAGCCCGGGGCCCAACCCCGGGACUGCCCUUGGAACUGCAUGGCUGGAGUGCGGGAGGGGCAGGCGGAAUUCCUGGUGUAGCGGUGAAAUGCGUAGAUAUCACGCAGAACCCCGAUUGCGAAGGCAGCCUUCCGGCGCCCUACUGACGCUGAGGCACGAAAGUGCGGGGAUCGAACAGGAUUAGAUACCCCUGUA